Molecule: ribosomal RNA, 522 nt
Filed under: uncultured bacterium
Lineage: Bacteria
Description: bacterial SSU rRNA
Rfam family: Bacterial small subunit ribosomal RNA
Source: RNAcentral
AAUAGAUACCCAGGUAGUCCUGGCAGUAAACGGUGCACGUUUGGUGUGGGAGGAUUCGACCCCUUCCGUGCCGGAGCUAACGCGUUAAACGUGCCGCCUGGGAAGUACGGUCGCAAGAUUAAAACUCAAAGAAAUUGACGGGGGCCCGCACAAGCGGUGGAGUAUGUGGCUUAAUUCGAUGCAACGCGAAGAACCUUACCUGGCCUUGACAUGUAUCGUGACAAUCUGUGAAAGCAGGUGACUGCCCGCAAGGGUGAUGGGGAUACACAGGUGCUGCAUGGCUGUCGUCAGCUCGUGUCGUGAGAUGUUAGGUUAAGUCCCGCAACGAGCGCAACCCCUGUGAACUGUUGCCACCGGCGCAAGCCGAGCACUCUGUUCAGACUGCCCUGUGAAACGGGGAGAAGUGGGGACACGUCAAGUCAGUAUGGCCCUUAGGCCAGGGCUGCACACGUACUACAAUGCCCAUACCAGAAUGAUCCAAAUCCGCGAGUGAGGAAAUCUCUAAAAGUGGGCCCAGUUCGG